UACAGAGACUGCAAGCGUUAUUCGGAUUCACUGGGCGUAAAGGGUGCGCAGGCGGCCGAGUGUGUGAGGCGUGAAAGCCUGGGGCUUAACCCCGGAAUUGCACCUCAAACUACACGGCUAGAGCAUUGGAGAGGGUAGCAGAAUUCACGGUGUAGCAGUGAAAUGCGUAGAUAUCGUGAGGAAUACCAGAGGCGAAGGCGGCUACCUGGACAAUUGCUGACGCUCAGGCACGAAAGCGUGGGGAGCAAAAGGG
Molecule: ribosomal RNA, 253 nt
Filed under: uncultured bacterium
Lineage: Bacteria
Description: partial 16S ribosomal RNA
Rfam family: Bacterial small subunit ribosomal RNA
Source: RNAcentral